CCCUUAGAUGUUCUGGGCCGCACGCGCGCUACACUGAUGCGUUCAACGAGUUUCUUCCUGGUCCGAGAGGAAUGGGUAACCUUUUGAAAGUGCAUCGUGAUAGGGAUAGACUAUUGCAAUUAUUGGUCUUCAACGAGGAAUUCCUAGUAGACGUAGUUCAUCAGACUGCAUCGAUUACGUCCCUGCCCUUUGUACACACCGCCCGUCGCUCCUACCGAUUGAAUGCUCAGGUGAGCCAUUCGGACCUUCAUCAUGCCGGUUUCCGGUUUUGAUGAGGGAAAGUCUUGCGAACCUUAUCAUUUAGAGGAAGGAGAAGUCGUAACA
This 324-nucleotide ribosomal RNA is filed under the name uncultured eukaryote. Its description in RNAcentral is "partial 18S ribosomal RNA". It matches the Rfam family "Eukaryotic small subunit ribosomal RNA", at positions 1470 to 1796 of the family's 1831-position model. The record is from RNAcentral.